UCCGUAGGCGGUGUGGCAAGUCGGUAGUGAAAUCUCUCGGCUUAACUGAGAGGCUGCUGCCGAAACUGCCAUGCCCGAGUGCGAGAGAGGCGAGUGGAAUUGCGGGUGUAGCGGUGAAAUGCGUAGAUAUCCGCAGGAACAUCCGAGGCGAAAGCGGCUCGCUGGAUCGCAACUGACGCUGAGGGACGAAAGCUAGGGGAGCAAACAGGAUUAGAUACCCUGGUAGUCCUAGCCCUAAACCAUCAGGACUUGGGGUUUGCCCUGUACGGGGCAAGUCCCGGAGCUAACGCGUUAAGUCCUGCGCCUGGGGAGUACGGUCGCAAGGCUGAA
RNAcentral lists this ribosomal RNA (330 nucleotides) under uncultured bacterium. RNAcentral's name for it is "bacterial SSU rRNA". It matches the Rfam family "Bacterial small subunit ribosomal RNA", at positions 568 to 898 of the family's 1533-position model. The record is from RNAcentral.